UAGUCCUGCAUUAUAACAGGGGACACCUUUGGUCCUUUGCCAUGUUAAGAAAGCAGCUUAAAACAAAAACCCUAGAAUCCUCAUUCAUUCAUUCCCUUGUCUUUUUUUGUUCCACCCUCUCCUCUUCUUCCUCGUUCAUUCCGAUCCCUUGGUGUUUUUAUUCCUUCCUCUCAUCGCAUUUCACCGACAAGGACUACCACCUCCUACUUGUCUCUGUUUUUAGCAGUAGAUCAAUUUAUCUUCUUCAAUCUUUCAUUCCUCUUUCUCACCUAAAAAUGAUCAACAAAGGAGGAGAGACAAAAAUCCUUUUCAAAUUCCGCAUUUCUCUCUCUAAUUCAUCACUUCAUCUUCACUUUCUCUCUCCUCUUUGACUACAUCGACGACGAUGACUUUCUUCAAUUUCUCGUCAUUUCCCCUUUUCAGUAUUAAUUUAUCAAUUUUUAGUUUUUUUUUUUUUUUUGAAUUUUUUUUUUUUUUUUGAAUUUUUAGUUUGGCGAUGUUGUUUAUUUAUGCUUGUGUAGCAUUUCUAAGCCCUCUUUUAUGGUUAGAAAUGCGAGAAAUCCCGCAUUAUAUUGUUGAUGAUUGUCGAUGACUGAUGCACUCUGGUAUAAAUGGUUUAUUGAAUUUUACUAUUGUGAGGGUUUUCUUUUAAGAGACUGCUGACUGAAUUUAACAGCAAUGAGCUAGUGAUCCCUCCCCAUCUCAAUAAACCCCCUUUUCAUUGAUUUCAUUGAGUAGGAUAUGUUUUCAUGUACUAAGUUACUUAUAAUCUCCUUUUACCUCAAAUAUUGAGUGCAUCUACACCGUAAUUUUCAACCUUGUCACAGAGUUUGAAAACCCCGAAGAGGUUUUGGAGAUCGUGAAACUUAUUUUUGCUAAAGUUGUUCAACAACCAAAUGAGAAGCCUGUCUGCGACUGAAGAUAUUGUUCUAUCUUUAUAACCUUCUUGAACACGCAUACAACCGUUUCUAUGUUUACUUGAAGGCCCUCAACCUGGCUACCAUUGGUAAAAUUACAUAGCAUGUUGUACCUUCCAUCAAGAAAAUUAACAGUUUCUUGAGUGAAUGGAAUCUUAGCAUCCAAGAUUAGAGAGAGAGCUUUUUCUUGCAAUUUUCAACGUUUUGAAAGAUAGCAAACUAGCAAAGGGAAAGGAAUCAUUUAAUUUCCUCUCGAAGUAUUUGGUAACUUUUUUCUACUGAGGAUGAACAAGCUUUGAGUGAGGCCAGAGAACAUGCCACCAAUGCUAUCAUAGAAUUUGUGAAAGGACCUGACAUGUUUCAGGCGAUCUCGGAUCAUGCGGUCAAUCACUCACUUUGCAUUCAUGUUUCCCAAGCAUGGUACUAAGCACUCGAUGAGAUACACAAUUCGAGACGCGUUUGUAUCCAAAAAAUUGGAACACUUUCCUUUAGACAUUGUUGUUUAUUUACUUAUUAGUUUUUUUUAUUUGAACUUGCUUUCUGGAUGUUACACAAAUUUCUCACCUUCCCAUCCUAGGGUUGGUGAAUGUGGGUUGAAUAAAUUAGACCAAUCGUUAGACGAGGCUCAAAGUGGUUGACGAAUGAAUGGAUAUGUGAUUAAAUUAUUAAUACGGAAUGAAUAAGUUGCAAAGGUGCCUCAAGUCAUUGAUGCCUUGUGUUUGGUUUGGAAAUUAUUUUCUGUAAUGAGUGAAUGAAAAAUUCUAUGAUCGAGAUGUACAGGAAAUUUGCUCAUUUUAUUGAUGAAAUUGGUGAAUAAAUAAACACAUAAACACAAUAGAGUCUACGAUGAAAAACCUAUGCUAGACAUAAUAGGGGAAUGGAAAUAAAGAAUCAUGAAAUCUUGCACGAUUGACGCGUCGUGCGCCUUGUCUUCAUUAGUUCUUACCGCUUGGAGGGACAAAUAGUAAUUUUUCAUCAACUAGAUCUUGAAUAACGUCCUUCAAAUUCCAACAUUGCUCGGUAGUGUGGUCUCUUCCUCGAUGGAACUUGCAGUGGUCAUUUGGAUUCCACUUAGCGCUCCUUUUUUCAGGUUUUGGCUCUAAAAAUGGCUCAAUAGGUAUGAUCAAGCCCUGACCGUAAAGGCAAUCAAAGGCCGCAUCACAAGUCAAUCCUAAAGGAGUAUAAGUUCUUCUUUUUUUUAGGUAACGUAGCAUCAAGAGCUAACACUUCAUGGAAAUCGACUUGGCUUACAUUUUUUGUAGUAUUUUCGUGUGUAGAAGACGAAGAAGAAGGAAGGACGUUCUUUUUGUUUUUCCAAGUGUUAUUAUUGUUACUACCAGGAGUCUUUAUUAGCUCGCACUACUUGAAAAAAAUUCUGACAGAACGAUUCUAACGGACACAAAAAUCCGUAUGAAAGUCCAAAAUUUCCGACGGAUUUUAUUUCCAUCAAAUUUCGAAGGAAUUUUAAUCCGCUGGAAAAUUCUUUAUUUUCGACGAAAAUUCCGUUGGAAAUGUUAUAUUUUCUGAUGGAAAUUAAUUCCCUCAAAAAUUUCCAAUGGAAAGUAAUUCUGACGGAUUUAUGAAUUAAAAAAAAGAAAGAAAAAAACACAAAACCCUAAUUAAAACAAAAAUAUUCCCCUCCUCCUUUGCUUUCUCGUUUCUCUCUUCUCUCUCAACACCUCUUUUCUUUUCUUUCUCUUCUCUUCUUCUUUUGGUUUAAUUUCUCUCUAUCUCACAACCUUUCCUACACUAGUCUAAUUUGCACAAAUUGAUACACUAACUAGUUUAAUCUCUCUAUCUCUUAGUCUUCGUGGUUCGACCCUUUACUUGCCGCUAACUAGUUUAUUGUAAGUUUAGGUAUUAUAAAUUUCUAAUUUGGUUAGGGUUAAUAGACCAACGACCUACUCUUACCCUCGAUCAACUAGGUCUCAACAGCAACCUAAAAACCAUAAAAUUUACAAUGAAUGCCGAAAAAUAACAUCAAGGUCGAGAAUAACAUGUUGCAAGAUAAAUUCUUACACAAACAGAAGAGGUGCCUCGGCGCAGCUGCCCACGCAGCGCAAAUACGAAUUCCACUCAUGACUUGCCUCGGUCACACCAGCUGGAUCUAACAGGGAAUCUAUUGAUCGCUCCGCGACGCCGUUGAGGGGCCAAUCCCAAAAAUUACUCAUAGAACCACAGCUUCAAUGAAAAGUAAUCUCUAAGAACAUGAGUUAAACUGGUUAAAACAGGACAAGAAGAAGAAAGAUCGUCACCUCUACAACUCUUCAUAAACCGUAGACAGCGACAGGGGCCUAGUCAUUCAGCUGCCUGCAGACAUGACGCAACGACGAGAGUAGAUCAGCAUAUCCAUUGCUAGCCUAAAUAUAGGAUCUUAUCUCUCCGAUCCUAACAAGAGAAGGAAGAUAGAAAACGAGCACACGUGAACUCCUAUCAUGAGAAAGAGUCCAAGAAAUGAGAAUCAUGAUAAAGAUUCGCACUCGCUACUCAGGUGUCGUCUCAGCCAAGUCAAAGCCAUGGGCAAGAACAAAAGCCAACUCUAACCACCCGGUCUUAGGACCACCUCGAGGCACCGGCCGAGUCCUUAUAUGUCAGACCGGACCUAACAAAUCUGCUACCUCAGCCGCUCCCCAAGUGAGGUCAAGAAUCUGCCGUACGACCCGCUCGAUGAAGCGUAAGUCGUUGAUCAUGUUAAAAUCCAGAGGUGUCACUAUCAUCUCCCCCAAGCAAAGUGAAAAGUGUUGGUAGUAUCCCAAAAAAUACUCCAACAACGCACAAACAACUGUCGAGCCACAACCCCAGGGGCUGCGAAAUUCUACGACCACAGAAUAGAAAUCUCCUAAACCAGCAGAUUCCCACAAGGCGUUAGUGACUAGAUCCCUCGUGAUAAUCCUGUAUAGCCAGGGAAUCAAAUCUCCAGCUCCGGAUCCAUGAUGGCGAAGCGUGCCAUCGACUACGCCGGUAAGUGGACGGUGAGAAAUAUGGUUCUCACGAUAGGAAACCAACUAGUCUGGUGUACACGGAGGUGGAAUCCACCUACCCUUACUCAUAGAAGGGCGAGGCUCAGUCUCUAAGGCAAUUUCGUCCAUGCCCUCAGGAAUUGUGGGGUUAUCCUCUCGAAAAGCCUCACGCCGACCAUGAAGUAGAAAGAUCGGAAUCCCAUUGUCUAGGCAUGCUAUUACAAAAAAAAAAUCUAAAUACUUAUCAUCAUUUCUUAAGUUAUUUAGUUAUUUAUUCAAAAGUGGCUUAACGGCUACCUCAAGUUGUAUUUUCUGUUAUACGCAAAAUUUUUAGCCCUAGACUAUAAAUUAGAAAAAUAAUAGAAUUAUUUCUAGUAUCUAGUUUCUCGAUGACGAACUAACACUACUAGAAUUUCCGUGUUUUAGGGACGCUUUUUAGGCCUAUUCUCGACGCCAAAAAGCGUCGUUAUUAUAUUUUUUCGACGCUUCAAAAAAGCGUCGAAAAAAGCUGAGUCGAGAAAUUUGUUAGACACUAUAAAGCGUUGCAAUUAUCGACGCUUUUUACUGUCUCGAAAUGUGUACUAAGCGUCGCAAUUCACACAGUUCGCGCAAUUUCUCAAAUUUGGCGACGCUUUUACUUGUCUAUAAUCUUACAAUUGGCGACGCUUUUUUAUGUUCAGAGUUUCAUACCUUUAAUGUCUUUUACUUUAGUGACGCUUUUUUUUGUCUAUAUUUUCAAAGUUGACGACACAUUUUCUUGUCCUUUUCUUUAAAAAUAUUUUUACAAUAACUUUACCCAAAAAUAUAUAAAAUUUCAGUCACUAAACCUAUUACUAACUAGUAUACUUGUAUUAACUAAAAAAUUAAAUGUACAACAAUAUUAUGCCAAAAAAGAAAAAACUCGCUUCACGGGAUUCUCCACCGUCUGACGGACCAUGCCACCGUGUCGCGGGAUUUUACCACGUGACGCGGGGCCCAUCUGUGUGUCCUGCACGCUGUUUAAAGCUCCUAGCGAAUACUUUGGCAUCUUUGACUAAGUUGGAAUGAUUUUCCACAACUUUUGGACAUUUUUUUUCUCAUCGGAAUGACGCAAAAAAUUCUAAUUGAUAUUUUAAUGGUACCAAAAUUACCAUUUUACCCCUAACAAGCAUUAGGGUCAAAUUUUUAAUAAUUUAAACACCUAUAUGGUCGGAUAGUCGACUUGAAGGUAAAUCAUCUGCGGCCUAUGUUCGGAGAUAAUCGAACCAUCAUACACUUGCAAAUCUCAUCCGACAAGUUUUUUCCUCAAGCGUGGAAAAUUGUCGAUCGUUGUCACCUAUCAAAGCAAAUAAGUGAGUGAUUAUAUCAGUUGUAAGUUUUCCUCAAGCAUGGAAAAUAUUAUCGGUGGAUUUUUUUCAAGUAUAGAAA
This is a long non-coding RNA of Chenopodium quinoa (quinoa), 5284 nucleotides long. RefSeq lists it as uncharacterized. The transcript has 4 exons. The record is from RefSeq and is a predicted model, not a curated record. Lineage: Eukaryota; Viridiplantae; Streptophyta; Magnoliopsida; Caryophyllales; Amaranthaceae.